UGUGUGUAAUUAAUUUAUAAACUUUCAUCUAUAUAUGUUGGUUUGAUAAGAACUUAAACAAUCAUUCUUUUUUUGAAUAAAUGAAAUUUUAUUUGUUGAAAGAAAACAGAAAUAGGACUCAAAAUAAAAUCGUAUGUUGAUAACAAAUAAUUUAAGGGCAAAAUGUGAACUUAAGUCAAUCGUUUGCAAAGUUAAUUACAGUCUGUUAUUGGUGAUGCUUCCGUCAAUAUGACAAUAGGGGUCUGCUAGACAUACCCGCUUAAGUUCAAUGUUGAUGGCUCAUGAGCAAUUGGGUUUUCUGAUAAAGCUAGUUACGAUUGUGUCUUAGCAGAUGAUACAGGUGCUAUCCUUGGAAUUUUCUUUGGCCCUCUUGGUAUUAAAAGUUCGAAUUAUACUGAGAUUUUUGCUACAAAGGAAGCUCUAUUGAUGUUCUGUAAAUCAACUUGGGUACAGCCCCGACUCAAAAGUGGCAAUAUCCUGGGUUUAUAAUUGUGAUUCUCGGCCAUGGAAGGAUUGUCAGAUUUUCAAUGAAGUUGACAAGACUUAGGUACGAGAUUAGGAGGGAUGAGUUUGUUCAUAUCUUUAGAAAAGCAAAUUCCUUGGCUAAAUUAGGUGUUAACAGAAACGAAAUGUUUUAUGCUUGGCUUUAGAUGUUGUCCUUUUGUUAUUUUGUAUUAUUGGUUUCAACAGCUCGAUCUUUCCUAAUUAGAAAGCUGCCUUUGGACCCUGCAUCGUUGAGGGAUUGUUUCAGCUUUGCAACAACAUUCCUUCACGAAUCAUGAAUGAAAGCUAUAUCUUUGGCUGAGAAAAAAUUUACAAUCUAAUCCAAUUCAACAUAUAAAAGAGGAAUGGAAGUUGCUAUAAGCGCAUGUAAGUGCACAGCUAUGAAUUCCACAAAGCACGAGAGCUGGUGCUUGUUGCUGUCAAAUGCUUAAUUCCAAGGUGAUACCACCGAACAAUGAUUAAGGCGAGUGGGCGAUGAUCACUAUUGGACCUACACAACUGUCACUUUGCAGACAAAGCUGUGGAAAUUAAGAAGCAAACAAAUCCACUUUUCUUUGUUGUUUAAUUGUAAUGUGAGAUGGGAGAGAAUCAUUCUCUUUUUCGAUACCUGCCACCAAUUAUUCCUUAGAUUAGAUUCUUAUCUUUUCCUCCGGUUUAAGACUUAAAAGGUAGGCUUAGCCUCAAAUUAGUCACAACCUUCUCCACAUAUUGAUUAUACUAUCAUAUAAGGGAUUAGGGAUUCAGUAGCCUUUACAAAAAGGAGAGUAGAGCAAAGUGCAUGGAAUAUUAUGAGAAGUGAGAAAUCUUGCUUUUCUUCUAUUUACAGCUCAAACCCAAAUUUUUUUCAUCAUCAUUUCUAUAAAUCUAUAUAAUAUUAAGCAUCAUGCAUAUGCUACUAUUCUUCUUUAUGCUGAAGUUUGGUUUAAAUAAUGUUGAAGAAAAUAUCAAAUACUCCAAGUGAAAACUUCAAAUUUCAACUUAGGAUUUAGGAACACUUGAAAUUAUCAGCUACAAAUGAUCCAAAAAAAAAA
This is a non-coding RNA of Durio zibethinus, 1535 nucleotides long. The record is from RefSeq and is a predicted model, not a curated record. NCBI's taxonomy places the organism in Eukaryota, Viridiplantae, Streptophyta, Magnoliopsida, Malvales, Malvaceae.